Molecule: non-coding RNA, 136 nt
Organism: Hordeum vulgare subsp. vulgare (domesticated barley)
Lineage: Eukaryota; Viridiplantae; Streptophyta; Magnoliopsida; Poales; Poaceae
Source: Rfam
CACAUACUUCCACCGUCUUAAAAUUCUUGUCUUAAAUUGGUCAAAAAAUAGAUGUAUCUAAAUAUCAAAAUGUAACUAGAUACAUUCAUAAUCACACAAAUUUAAGACAAAAAUUUUAAGACGGAGGGAGUACAUA